This 403-nucleotide ribosomal RNA is filed under the name uncultured bacterium. RNAcentral describes it as "partial 16S ribosomal RNA". It matches the Rfam family "Bacterial small subunit ribosomal RNA", at positions 30 to 526 of the family's 1533-position model. The record is from RNAcentral.
AUUGAACGCUGGCGGCAGGCCUAACACAUGCAAGUCGAGCGAGCGGCGGACGGGUGCGUAAUGUAUGGGGACUGCCCGAUAGAGGGGGAUCACUACUGGAAACGGUAGCUAAUACCGCAUACUAUCCGAUAACCCAUAUGGGAUUAGCUAGUAGGUGAGUGAAUGGCUCACCUAGGCGACGAUUCCUAGCUGGUCGGAGAGGUUGAUCAGCCACACUGGGACUGAGACACGGCCCAGAUGCCUACGGAGGCAGCAGUGGGGAAUAUUGGACAAUGGGCGCAAGCCUGAUGCAGCCAUGCCGCGUGUAUGAAGAAGGCCCUAGGGUUGUAAAGUACUUUCAGUCGGGAGGCGUUACCGACAGAAGAAGCACCGGCUAACUCCGUGCCAGCAGCCGCGGUAAUUC